GGGANUUCNGCAGUGNUAAAAUNUUAAGCAAUGAANGAAAGUUUGACUAAGCUAUACCUCUUAGGGUUGGUAAAUUUCGUGCCAGCCACCGCGGUCAUACGAUUAACCCAAACUAAUUAUUCUCGGCGUAAAACGUGGUAAUUAUGAUUAACAUAAAUAGAAUUAAAAUCCAACUUAUAUGUGAAAAUUCAUUGUUUGGACCUAAAUUCAAUAACGAAAGUAAUUCUAAUUUAUAUUAACACGAUAGCUAAGAUCCAAACUGGGAUUAGAUACCCCACUAUGCUUAGCCCUAAACUUGAAUAAUUAAAUAACAAAAAUAUUUGCCAGAGAACUACUAGCCACCGCUUAAAACUCAAAGGACUUGGCGGUACUUUAUAUCCAUCUAGAGGAGCCUGUUCUAUAAUCGAUAAACCCCGCUAAACCUUACCAUCUCUUGCUAAAUCAGCCUAUAUACCGCCAUCUUCAGCAAACCCUAAAAAGGCACUAAAGUAAGCGCAAGAACAAACAUAAAAACGUUAGGUCAAGGUGUAGCCAAUGAGAUGGAAAGAAAUGGGCUACAUUUUCUUAUAAAAGAACAUUAACGAAAUCCUUUAUGAAACUNAAAGGAUGAAGGAGGAUUUAGUAGUAAAUUAAGAAUAGAGAGCUUAAUUGAAUAGAGCAAUGAAGUACGUACACACCGCCCGUCACCCUCCUCAAAUUAAAUUAACCUAACUAUACAUAAUUAUUACCAUUAAAUUUAUGAGAGGAGAUAGUCGUAACANGGUAAGCAUACUGGAAAGUGNGCUUGGANNNNN
This 794-nucleotide non-coding RNA is filed under the name Typomys trivirgatus (West African Hybomys). RNAcentral describes it as "Hybomys trivirgatus (West African Hybomys) partial 12S ribosomal RNA". It matches the Rfam family "Bacterial small subunit ribosomal RNA", at positions 342 to 1522 of the family's 1533-position model. The record is from RNAcentral. Lineage: Eukaryota; Metazoa; Chordata; Mammalia; Rodentia; Muridae.